UCAAGUAUCGGAAAGUCAGUACACUUCCCUCAAUCACCUUUUUAAGCCCAAUCACCAUUGGCAUUCCCCAAAUACACUCCUCCGUAAAGCCCAAACAUACUUGGCAUAACUUGUAAACGCUGCAUUUCAUAUAUUCCCCAUGAAAGCCCAAACACGCAUUGGCAUACAUAACAUCACAUCAUAAAUAUCUCAUUAACUUACUUAAAUUAACUCGUCAGAGUUCGGAAUUUUCCAACUGUUGUUAGGAAUUUUCCCCAAUAAAAUUAAUGUUCACCCUUAAAAC
RNAcentral lists this long non-coding RNA (283 nucleotides) under Lathyrus oleraceus (garden pea). RNAcentral's name for it is "Pisum sativum (pea) long non-coding RNA (PSAT_LNC008523)". The record is from RNAcentral. Lineage: Eukaryota; Viridiplantae; Streptophyta; Magnoliopsida; Fabales; Fabaceae.